RNAcentral lists this ribosomal RNA (2188 nucleotides) under Escherichia coli. Its description in RNAcentral is "partial 23S ribosomal RNA". It matches the Rfam family "Bacterial large subunit ribosomal RNA", at positions 760 to 2925 of the family's 2925-position model. Lineage: Bacteria; Pseudomonadati; Pseudomonadota; Gammaproteobacteria; Enterobacterales; Enterobacteriaceae. The record is from RNAcentral. RNAcentral also lists the same sequence under 2 other names.
CACUAACUGGAGGACCGAACCGACUAAUGUUGAAAAAUUAGCGGAUGACUUGUGGCUGGGGGUGAAAGGCCAAUCAAACCGGGAGAUAGCUGGUUCUCCCCGAAAGCUAUUUAGGUAGCGCCUCGUGAAUUCAUCUCCGGGGGUAGAGCACUGUUUCGGCAAGGGGGUCAUCCCGACUUACCAACCCGAUGCAAACUGCGAAUACCGGAGAAUGUUAUCACGGGAGACACACGGCGGGUGCUAACGUCCGUCGUGAAGAGGGAAACAACCCAGACCGCCAGCUAAGGUCCCAAAGUCAUGGUUAAGUGGGAAACGAUGUGGGAAGGCCCAGACAGCCAGGAUGUUGGCUUAGAAGCAGCCAUCAUUUAAAGAAAGCGUAAUAGCUCACUGGUCGAGUCGGCCUGCGCGGAAGAUGUAACGGGGCUAAACCAUGCACCGAAGCUGCGGCAGCGACGCUUAUGCGUUGUUGGGUAGGGGAGCGUUCUGUAAGCCUGUGAAGGUGUGCUGUGAGGUAUGCUGGAGGUAUCAGAAGUGCGAAUGCUGACAUAAGUAACGAUAAAGCGGGUGAAAAGCCCGCUCGCCGGAAGACCAAGGGUUCCUGUCCAACGUUAAUCGGGGCAGGGUGAGUCGACCCCUAAGGCGAGGCCGAAAGGCGUAGUCGAUGGGAAACAGGUUAAUAUUCCUGUACUUGGUGUUACUGCGAAGGGGGGACGGAGAAGGCUAUGUUGGCCGGGCGACGGUUGUCCCGGUUUAAGCGUGUAGGCUGGUUUUCCAGGCAAAUCCGGAAAAUCAAGGCCGAGGCGUGAUGACGAGGCACUACGGUGCUGAAGCAACAAAUGCCCUGCUUCCAGGAAAAGCCUCUAAGCAUCAGGUAACAUCAAAUCGUACCCCAAACCGACACAGGUGGUCAGGUAGAGAAUACCAAGGCGCUUGAGAGAACUCGGGUGAAGGAACUAGGCAAAAUGGUGCCGUAACUUCGGGAGAAGGCACGCUGAUACGUAGGUGAAGCGACUUGCUCGUGGAGCUGAAAUCAGUCGAAGAUACCAGCUGGCUGCAACUGUUUAUUAAAAACACAGCACUGUGCAAACACGAAAGUGGACGUAUACGGUGUGACGCCUGCCCGGUGCCGGAAGGUUAAUUGAUGGGGUUAGCGCAAGCGAAGCUCUUGAUCGAAGCCCCGGUAAACGGCGGCCGUAACUAUAACGGUCCUAAGGUAGCGAAAUUCCUUGUCGGGUAAGUUCCGACCUGCACGAAUGGCGUAAUGAUGGCCAGGCUGUCUCCACCCGAGACUCAGUGAAAUUGAACUCGCUGUGAAGAUGCAGUGUACCCGCGGCAAGACGGAAAGACCCCGUGAACCUUUACUAUAGCUUGACACUGAACAUUGAGCCUUGAUGUGUAGGAUAGGUGGGAGGCUUUGAAGUGUGGACGCCAGUCUGCAUGGAGCCGACCUUGAAAUACCACCCUUUAAUGUUUGAUGUUCUAACGUGGACCCGUGAUCCGGGUUGCGGACAGUGUCUGGUGGGUAGUUUGACUGGGGCGGUCUCCUCCUAAAGAGUAACGGAGGAGCACGAAGGUUGGCUAAUCCUGGUCGGACAUCAGGAGGUUAGUGCAAUGGCAUAAGCCAGCUUGACUGCGAGCGUGACGGCGCGAGCAGGUGCGAAAGCAGGUCAUAGUGAUCCGGUGGUUCUGAAUGGAAGGGCCAUCGCUCAACGGAUAAAAGGUACUCCGGGGAUAACAGGCUGAUACCGCCCAAGAGUUCAUAUCGACGGCGGUGUUUGGCACCUCGAUGUCGGCUCAUCACAUCCUGGGGCUGAAGUAGGUCCCAAGGGUAUGGCUGUUCGCCAUUUAAAGUGGUACGCGAGCUGGGUUUAGAACGUCGUGAGACAGUUCGGUCCCUAUCUGCCGUGGGCGCUGGAGAACUGAGGGGGGCUGCUCCUAGUACGAGAGGACCGGAGUGGACGCAUCACUGGUGUUCGGGUUGUCAUGCCAAUGGCACUGCCCGGUAGCUAAAUGCGGAAGAGAUAAGUGCUGAAAGCAUCUAAGCACGAAACUUGCCCCGAGAUGAGUUCUCCCUGACCCUUUAAGGGUCCUGAAGGAACGUUGAAGACGACGACGUUGAUAGGCCGGGUGUGUAAGCGCAGCGAUGCGUUGAGCUAACCGGUACUAAUGAACCGUGAGGCUUAACCUU